GCUGCGCAACGAGGUGUUGUCCAAGAGUCGGGUUGCUUGGGAAUGCAGCCCCAAYUGGGUGGUAAGUCCCAUCCAAGCCUAAAUAUGUGCGAGGGACCGAUAGCGAAGAAGAACCGCGAGGGAAGGAUGAAAAGAACUUUGAAAAGAGAGUGAAAGAGUGCUUGAAAUUGCCGAGUGAGAAGCGGAUGGAGGGGAAGUCGUGCGCUCCCGUCUGGGCAGGGGUGGACGGCGAAUGUGUUGUCGCCCCCCUUGUUGGACGUGGGGUGCCUGCUAGCAUGGGCUGCUGUGACCGGCAUUGCGGUGGGGAGCGAUUGAAACCGCCCACGGGUGGUCGUCACGGCAAUCGAGAACCUUGAGCACACGCCUCUUUCGGCGGGCCCGUUCGGGUUCCUACGUGUUCGGGAUGCUGGCGAAAUUCCUCUAUCCUGCCCAUCUUGAAACACGGACUUAGGAGUUCAACGUGCAUGCGAGCCGAUGGGUGAUUAGCCCACGAGGCGGAGGAAACCUGAGUGGCGGGAACCCUCUGCGGGUGCACCGUCCUCUAAGUUGAACCACGAUCUGCUGGGAGAGGUUUGAGUGUGAGCAUGCCCGUUGGGACCCGAAAGAUGGUGAACUAUGCCCUGAGCAGGGCGAGGCCAGAGGAAACUCUGGUGGAGGCUCGCUGCGAUACUCACGUGAUAAUCGUUUGUUGGACUUGGGUAUAGGGGCGAAAGACUAAUCGAACUGUCUAUUAGCUGGUUCCCUCCGAAGUUUCCCUCAGGAUAGCUGGAGCUGUUGAACAGUUUUAUCGGGUAAAGCGAAUGAUUAGAGGCCUCGGGGGUGAAACACCCUCGACCUAUUCUCAAACUUUAAAUAGUUAAGAUUUCGGGGUUGCUUAAGCGAACCCCGAGGAUCAAUGAAAGCUUCAAGUGGGUCAUUUUUGGUAAGCAGAACUGGCGAUGCGGGAUGAACCGAAAGUCGAGCUACGGUGCCAAACUGCGCGCUAACCCAGACACCACAAAGGGUGCUGAUUGAUACAGACAUUAGGACGGUGGUCAUGGAAGUCGAAAUCCGCUAAGGAGUGUGUAAGAACUCACCUGCCGAAUCAAUCAGCCCCGAAAAUGGACGGCGCUGAAGCGCGCGACCUAUGCUCAGCCGUCGCGGUGAUUCUGACGCCGCGACGAGUAGGAGGGCGUAACAGCCAUUUCGUCAAAACGGACAUAUUAUAUUUUUUGAACGAAAUCAAAACUGACUUAUUUUGCCAAAAUCCGGUCAGAAUUUUUUGCUCCUGGGGGUCCGGCAUUCCCAAAACGCCGGACCCCUUACAUGUAUCUGGUCUAUGAUUGAGACCAGAUACCAAAAAAAAAAUAAAAAAAUUAAUAAAAUUGUAUCUGGUUUCAACCAUAGACCAGAUACAUCUAGGGGGUCCGGCGUUUUGGGAACGCCAGAGCCCCAGGAGCAAACAAUUCCGACCGGGUUUUGGCAAAAUAAGUCAGUUUUGAUUUCGUUCAAAAUAUAUAAUAUGUCCGUUUUGACGAAAUGGCUGUUGCGUGGGGCCUGUUGCAAAGCGUGGAGCGUGAGCCUAGGUGAAGCGGGUCCCGGUGCAGAUCUUGGUGGUAGUAGCAAAUAUUCAAAUGAGAACUUUGAAGACCGAAUAGGAGAAGGGUUCCAUGUGAAGAGCGCUUGGUCAGUCGGCCCUACGAGAUGUGGAAACCUUGUAUCAAGGGCGCACUCGCACAUCGAAAGGGGGUCGGGUAAAUAUUCCUGAACCGGGUUGUGGAGGUGGACGGUAACGUAAGCAGCUCCGAAGAUGCCGGCGGGGGCCAUGGGGAGGGUUCUCUUUCCUUCUUGACGGCUCGCCCACCCUGGAAUCGGAUCAACCAGAGAUAGGGUGCAGCGCCCGGCAAUGCACCGCGCGUCCUGUGGUGUCCAGCGUGCCCCCGAUGGCCUUUGAAAAUCUGGAGCUGCGGGUACCUCUCACGCCCGGCCGUACUCAUAAAUGUAGGUGAGGGAAGUCGGCAAUAUGGAUCCGUAACCUUAGGAAAAGGAUUGGCUCUGAGGGCUGGGCCUACGGGUCUGCGCCUCGAUGUCGUUGGCUGCCGGUGGUCAGCCCGAGCUGCUCUCGCGGUGAGGCCAGAGCCCUCGUGCAAGUGUGUCGACGGGCGUAGAAUGUCUUAUGUCCCCACCUUUCGGGUGGGGCCGUGGGACUCUCCCUAAGCAUCAAACUAUCGACUCGGAACUGGUGCGGACAAGGGGAAUCCGACUGUUUAAUUAAAACAAAGCAUUACGAUGGUUCGAACGGAUGUUGACGCAAUAUGAUUUUUGCCCUGUGCUCUGAAUGUCAAAGUGAAGAGAUUCAACCAAGCGCGGGUAAACGGCGGGAGUAACUAUGACUCUCUUAAGGUAGCCAAAUGCGUCGUCAUCUAAUUAGUGAUGCGCAUGAAUGGAUUAAUGAGAUUCCCACUGUCCCUAUCUACCAUCCUGCGAAACCACAGCCAAGGGAACGGSCUUGGAAGAAUCGGCGGGGAAAGAAGACCCUGUUGAGCUUGACUCUAGUUCGACUCUGUGAAAUGACUUGAGAGGUGAAGAAUAAGUGGUAGCCUUACAGCGCAAGUGAAAUACCACUACUUUUAACGUUAUUUUACUUAUUUCGUGAGGUGGAGCCGGGGGUUUGCCCCUACUUCUCGAUCCAAGGUGGAGGCCCUCGUGGCCUGUCCGAUCCAAGUGAAAGACAUUGUCAGGUGGGGAGUUUGGUUGGGGUGGCACAUCUGUUAGAAGAUAACGCAGGUGUCCUAAGAUGAGGUCAACAAGAACAGAAAUCUUGUGUGGAGCAAAAUGGCGGAUGGCCCAGUGGUUAGGGCACCGGUUGGAAAUGCACAUUGUGGUCUGAGGUUGCGGGUUCAAAUCCGCAACCUCGUGCAUAUGUCGUCGGCACGGCGUUAGGUUGACGCACUACCACUCACCCACUGAGUGCGCACACUCCCAGGGGUACGGCAGUACACAGGGCUCUACAACUCUAGACUUGGGGAGCCACCUGCAAGGGUGCCCACUGGAUGCUGAU
Molecule: ribosomal RNA, 3040 nt
Filed under: Chara braunii
Lineage: Eukaryota; Viridiplantae; Streptophyta; Charophyceae; Charales; Characeae
Description: eukaryotic LSU rRNA
Source: RNAcentral